This 252-nucleotide ribosomal RNA is filed under the name uncultured bacterium. RNAcentral's name for it is "partial 16S ribosomal RNA". It matches the Rfam family "Bacterial small subunit ribosomal RNA", at positions 524 to 776 of the family's 1533-position model. The record is from RNAcentral.
UACGAAGGGGGCUAGCGUUGCUCGGAAUCACUGGGCGUAAAGCGCACGUAGGCGGCUUUCUAAGUCAGGGGUGAAAUCCUGGAGCUCAACUCCAGAACUGCCUUUGAUACUGGAGCUUGAGUCCGGGAGAGGUGAGUGGAACUCCGAGUGUAGAGGUGAAAUUCGUAGAUAUUCGGAAGAAACACCAGUGGCGAAGGCGGCUCACUGGCCCGGUACUGACGCUGAGGUGCGAAAGCGUGGGGAGCAAACAGG